RNAcentral lists this ribosomal RNA (254 nucleotides) under uncultured bacterium. Its description in RNAcentral is "partial 16S ribosomal RNA". It matches the Rfam family "Bacterial small subunit ribosomal RNA", at positions 524 to 776 of the family's 1533-position model. The record is from RNAcentral.
UACGGGGGGAGCAAGCGUUGUUCGGAUUUACUGGGCGUAAAGGGCGCGUAGGCGGCCUCUGCAAGUCAAUUGUGAAAUCUCCGGGCUUAACUCGGAAAGGUCAACUGAUACUGCAGGGCUAGAGUGCGGAAGGGGCAACUGGAAUUCUCGGUGUAGCGGUGAAAUGCGUAGAUAUCGAGAGGAACACCUGCGGCGAAGGCGGGUUGCUGGGCCGACACUGACGCUGAAGCGCGAAAGCCAGGGGAGCGAACGGG